AUUCCAGCUCCAAUAGCGUAUAUUAAAGUUGUUGCAGUUAAAAAGCUCGUAGUUGGAUUUCUGGUUUGAUGCCCUGGCCCGCUUCAAAUUUUGGAGUGUGUGCCGGCUGUGCGUCUGCCAUCCUUCUAGAAAACGUUCGUACCCUUCACUGGGCCGCGUUCGAGAUCUAGAUCUUUUACUUUGAAAAAAUUAGAGUGUUUAAAGCAGGCAGUUGCUAUGAAUACAUUAGCAUGGAAUAAUAAUCUAGGACUUCGGUUCUAUUUUGUUGGUUUCUAGUACUGAAGUAAUGAUUAAUAGGGACAGUUGGGGGCAUUCAUAUUCCAUUGUCAGAGGUGAAAUUCUCAGACCAGCGGAAGACGAACCACUGCGAAAGCAUUUGCCAAGGAUGUUUUCAUUG
Molecule: ribosomal RNA, 397 nt
Filed under: Botuliformidae sp.
Lineage: Eukaryota; Cercozoa; Thecofilosea
Description: partial small subunit ribosomal RNA
Rfam family: Eukaryotic small subunit ribosomal RNA
Source: RNAcentral